AUUUAUUUAUUUUCCCUUUUGUUGCCCUUGCUGUUUUUUUAUUGUUGUUGUAGUUAUUAUUGUUGUUGUAGUUAUUGUUGUUGUUGCUAUUGAUUUUAUCAUUAUUCAAUAGGACAGAGAGAAAUGGAGAGGGGAGCAGAAGACAGAGGGGGAAGAGGAAGAUAGACACCUGCAGACCUGCUUCACCACCUGUGAAGUGACCCCCACUGCAGGAGAAAAAUGGCGUGUUCUCUCUACCAACCUGGGAGAAGGAAGUGUGAAAGGAGAAAGCAGACUGGAGAGACAGGCAUUACUCCAUGAUGAGCUGUCACUGAUGGACACUUGAAAGCUGGCUUGGGAGACACAGCAGGGCCCACCAGGCGGAGAGGCUCCCCAGCGCCCCUCUCUGGGACUGUCACCGCUGCUUCCUACUCCCACCCCGCCCUAGGGGACGUCAGCUCGUCAGCUCGAGGCUUGUUCCCUCCAGACCUGUCUCGGGAAAUAGGGGAGAGGCCUUGGGGUGUUGGGGGAGAACUCCAAGAGCAGCCCCCGAAAAUCAAGAUGCCCUGAGGGGUGAUAGGAAUGGAGCUAGGAGCUGGGGGAAGAAGCGCUGUCACGAAGAUGCGCUCACACCCCUCACCUGCAACCCCUGAGACCCCUGAGACCCCAAGGCCCUUGCGCCUGCGUGCGCCCUGGCGCCUUCUCUUCCCGCACUGAACUUUGUUAGAAAUCGCCGAACUUCCGGGGCGCGCCCCACUGCCUGGGACUGCACAGUAGGGAGCCCCUCUUGGGCCGCAGCCUGCCAGCCUUAACGCGGAUUAAAUGUGAGUGCUGGCCAGGCCUCCAGAAAACACUCUCGGGGGUGCUAUUUUGCCCGGACUCUGGUCUCUUCUAUGCCGAGUUGCACAACAAACCAUUUAAACAUUUUCAGCACAAACCCUCGGUCCUUUGUGAGUUGCACAUUAAAAAGUGUUAUUCGCUU
Erinaceus europaeus (western European hedgehog) is the source of this 961-nucleotide long non-coding RNA. RefSeq lists it as uncharacterized. The record is from RefSeq and is a predicted model, not a curated record. NCBI's taxonomy places the organism in Eukaryota, Metazoa, Chordata, Mammalia, Eulipotyphla, Erinaceidae. The transcript is spliced from 2 exons.